RNAcentral lists this ribosomal RNA (253 nucleotides) under uncultured bacterium. RNAcentral describes it as "partial 16S ribosomal RNA". It matches the Rfam family "Bacterial small subunit ribosomal RNA", at positions 524 to 776 of the family's 1533-position model. The record is from RNAcentral.
GACGAACCGUACGAACGUUAUUCGGAAUCACUGGGCUUAACGGGUGCGUAGGCUGCGCAGCAAGUUGGGUGUGAAAUCCCUCGGCUUAACCGAGGAACUGCGCCCAAAACUGCUGUGCUCGAGGGAGACAGAGGUGAGCGGAACUUAGGGUGGAGCGGUGAAAUGCGUUGAUAUCCUAAGGAACACCGGUGGCGAAAGCGGCUCACUGGGUCUCUUCUGACGCUGAGGCACGAAAGCUAGGGGAGCGAACGGG